UGGCGGAUCGUCCAAUGGCAGGACAAUGGUCUCUGGAACCAUUUAUCGGGGUUCGAAUCCCUGUCCGCCAGCCA
This 74-nucleotide transfer RNA is filed under the name Candidatus Sabulitectum silens. It matches the Rfam family "tRNA". From Rfam's summary of the family: Transfer RNA (tRNA) molecules are approximately 80 nucleotides in length. Their secondary structure includes four short double-helical elements and three loops (D, anti-codon, and T loops). Further hydrogen bonds mediate the characteristic L-shaped molecular structure. tRNAs have two regions of fundamental functional importance: the anti-codon, which is responsible for specific mRNA codon recognition, and the 3' end, to which the tRNAs corresponding amino acid is attached (by aminoacyl-tRNA synthetases). tRNAs cope with the degeneracy of the genetic code in two manners: having more than one tRNA (with a specific anti-codon) for a particular amino acid; and 'wobble' base-pairing, i.e. permitting non-standard base-pairing at the 3rd anti-codon position. The record is from RNAcentral. RNAcentral also lists the same sequence under 1 other name. Lineage: Bacteria; Pseudomonadati; Candidatus Fermentibacterota.